RNAcentral lists this ribosomal RNA (1479 nucleotides) under Klebsiella pneumoniae. Its description in RNAcentral is "partial 23S ribosomal RNA". It matches the Rfam family "Bacterial large subunit ribosomal RNA", at positions 1 to 1527 of the family's 2925-position model. Lineage: Bacteria; Pseudomonadati; Pseudomonadota; Gammaproteobacteria; Enterobacterales; Enterobacteriaceae. The record is from RNAcentral.
GGUUAAGCGACUAAGCGUACACGGUGGAUGCCCUGGCAGUCAGAGGCGAUGAAGGACGUGCUAAUCUGCGAAAAGCGUCGGUAAGGUGAUAUGAACCGUUAUAACCGGCGAUGUCCGAAUGGGGAAACCCAGUGCAAUUCGUUGCACUAUCGUUAACUGAAUACAUAGGUUAACGAGGCGAACCGGGGGAACUGAAACAUCUAAGUACCCCGAGGAAAAGAAAUCAACCGAGAUUCCCCCAGUAGCGGCGAGCGAACGGGGAGCAGCCCAGAGUCUGAAUCAGCUUGUGUGUUAGUGGAACGGUCUGGAAAGUCCGACGGUACAGGGUGAUAGUCCCGUACACCAAAAUGCACAGGCUGUGAACUCGAAGAGUAGGGCGGGACACGUGGUAUCCUGUCUGAAUAUGGGGGGACCAUCCUCCAAGGCUAAAUACUCCUGACUGACCGAUAGUGAACCAGUACCGUGAGGGAAAGGCGAAAAGAACCCCGGCGAGGGGAGUGAAAAAGAACCUGAAACCGUGUACGUACAAGCAGUGGGAGCACCUUCGGGUGUGACUGCGUACCUUUUGUAUAAUGGGUCAGCGACUUAUAUUCUGUAGCAAGGUUAACCGUAUAGGGGAGCCGCAGGGAAACCGAGUCUUAACUGGGCGUUAAGUUGCAGGGUAUAGACCCGAAACCCGGUGAUCUAGCCAUGGGCAGGUUGAAGGUUGGGUAACACUAACUGGAGGACCGAACCGACUAAUGUUGAAAAAUUAGCGGAUGACUUGUGGCUGGGGGUGAAAGGCCAAUCAAACCGGGAGAUAGCUGGUUCUCCCCGAAAGCUAUUUAGGUAGCGCCUCGUGAACUCAUCUUCGGGGGUAGAGCACUGUUUCGGCUAGGGGGUCAUCCCGACUUACCAACCCGAUGCAAACUACGAAUACCGAAGAAUGUUAUCACGGGAGACACACGGCGGGUGCUAACGUCCGUCGUGAAGAGGGAAACAACCCAGACCGCCAGCUAAGGUCCCAAAGUCAUGGUUAAGUGGGAAACGAUGUGGGAAGGCACAGACAGCCAGGAUGUUGGCUUAGAAGCAGCCAUCAUUUAAAGAAAGCGUAAUAGCUCACUGGUCGAGUCGGCCUGCGCGGAAGAUGUAACGGGGCUAAACCAUGCACCGAAGCUGCGGCAGCGACACUAUGUGUUGUUGGGUAGGGGAGCGUUCUGUAAGCCUGCGAAGGUGUGCUGUGAGGCAUGCUGGAGGUAUCAGAAGUGCGAAUGCUGACAUAAGUAACGAUAAAGCGGGUGAAAAGCCCGCUCGCCGGAAGACCAAGGGUUCCUGUCCAACGUUAAUCGGGGCAGGGUGAGUCGACCCCUAAGGCGAGGCCGAAAGGCGUAGUCGAUGGGAAACAGGUUAAUAUUCCUGUACUUGGUGUUACUGCGAAGGGGGGACGGAGAAGGCUAUGUUAGCCGGGCGACGGUUGUCCCGGUUUAAGCAUGUAGGCUG